Molecule: long non-coding RNA, 2115 nt
Organism: Ictalurus furcatus (blue catfish)
Lineage: Eukaryota; Metazoa; Chordata; Actinopteri; Siluriformes; Ictaluridae
Exons: 4
Source: RefSeq, a predicted model, not a curated record
AUCAGAUAAGCGUUCGGCCAUCACAGCUGUGUUAGCAAAAACACUGAAGAAUACCGGCCCUGUAGCCGUCUUAGCCACUGAAAUAGAAACACACUGGAAUGGCCAAUCAUAGCGCAACUAGUGUUAACAAGGCGAGAUCUCGGGCCGCCAUCUUACUAAGUGCUACAUGGAUAUAUCCUUUAUACUGAGAUAUAUCCUUAUAAUGAGUCUUUAUUAAUCACAUAUACAUUACAGCGACAUUCUUUUCUUCACAUAACCCAGCAUGUCAGAGAGUUGGGGUCAGAGCACAGGGUCAGCCAUGGUACAGCGCCCCUGGAGCAGAGAGGGUUAAGGGCCUUGCCCAAGGGCCCAACAGUGGCAGUGCUGGGGCUUGAACCCCCGACCUUCUGAUCAGUAACCCAGAGCCUUAACCAAGCCACCACUGUCCCUGUAUGUAUUUAAGUACAAAUUUAGCCAAGAUCACAUUGAAUUAUUUUUCAAUGCGGUACGACGUUGCGGAGGCUGGUCUAACAAUCCCACUGCUGCACAUUUCAAAGCCACAUUUAAAUGUCUCAUCACAAGAUGUGGGGCCCUAGCCGCAGGAUCAUCAGGGAACUGCACAUCCUUUGGUGAUACAGACCUGGUACAGGCAGGAUCCAGCACUUUUGUACCUCCAACUCUAAUUAGUGAUGGCUUGGUGGUUAAGGCUCUGGGUUCCUGAUGAGAAGGUUGGGGGUUCAAGCCCCAGUACAACCAAGCUGCCACUGUUGGGCCCUUGAGCAAGGCCCUUAACCCUCUCUGCUCCAGGGGUGCCAUAUCAUGGCUGACCCUGUGCUCUGACCCCAACUUCCUAACAUGCUGGGGCAAGAUGAGGAGAUAGAAAAUAUGUGCAUGGACUAGGACUUUGUUGUCCCAAACCAGGAAGUCCUGGCAACCCUGGAAAACAUCCUUGUAUACAUUGGAGGUUGGGUGGUUAGGAACGCACUGCUGAAAGUCUCAUGCUCCACAUGCAGGGUGGCACUCAUGGCUUCAGAACCUUGGAUUAACUCAAUCAGUGAGACAGACCCUGAAUAGGACUGUUAUCUUUCUAGGACAGUGAACUGUAUAUGCACUAAUUUAAAUGACGGGUUUUACAUCCACUUUUUGCAUGUGAGUACUGAUUAGAUGAAUAUUACAAUACAGAUUGGUUUCAUUUAACAGUAUGACCAUGAAAAUAAAAAUGUGAUUAAUACAAUAGCUAAAGGUAGUCUGUAAAGUCACUUGGAAGGUUGUAUCACAAGGUAGUGCCUGAGAAAUGUGUGGGAUUUUUGUCUGAAUGUUUUGAAUCUAUUGCUUAUUAACCAACCCUGAUGGUUUGUAUUACAUAAGUUAGUCUGUUUGCUGAGGUCCUUGAAGUAUAUGCAGACAUUCUGUAAUAAUUUUUUCCCUCCAUUUUCAAAUGUUAUACAUUUCAUGCAAAAAAAAAAAAAAAAUUUAAUUACAAAUCAUAUCAGUAAUGGAUAAUCGAGAGAGUGGAGACAUAUAAAUUCCUGGGUGUUCACCUCAACAAUAAACUGACUGCUCCACAAACACAGAUGUCCUGUGCAAAAAGGGCCAAAAAGAGGUUUUUUGGUGUGUGCAGGACUCUGCUUAAAACUUUCUAUGACACUGUGGUAGCAUCUGCUAUCUUAUAUGUUUCCUGGGCAAUUGGGAGCACAGAGAGGGACAGGAAACGUCUCAACAAACUGGUUAAGAGGGCUAGCUCUGUCCUGGUCUACCCUCUGGACAGCAUAGAGGUGGUGGGGGAGAGGAGGAUGUUAGCUAAGAUGGCGUCUAUCAUGAGCAAUUCCUCUCACCCUCUGUAUGAGAUACUGGGGUCCCUCCUUCAGCAGCAGACAGCUGCACCCUCAGUGCAAGAAAGAGCGCUACCGCAGGUCCUUCAUCCCUACAGCAGUCAGACUCUUUAAUAUAACAACAUAAUGUAGCACUGCUAGCUGUUUUUUGCAUCAUCAACCCACACAUUAUUAUUAUUUGUUGCUCACCCCACUAUUGUUAACUGCGCAAUAAUACAUUUAUCCACUCAUGUAUAUAAACAAGGUGUUACACAUCUGUAUAUAUUCAAAUUUAUAUUCAUCUGUACAUACAUUGAGGUGUUCA